This 468-nucleotide ribosomal RNA is filed under the name uncultured bacterium. RNAcentral's name for it is "partial 16S ribosomal RNA". It matches the Rfam family "Bacterial small subunit ribosomal RNA", at positions 28 to 507 of the family's 1533-position model. The record is from RNAcentral.
GACGAACGCUGGCGGCGUGCUUAACACAUGCAAGUCGAACGGAAAGGCCCUGCUUUUGUGGGGUGCUCGAGUGGCGAACGGGUGAGUAACACGUGAGUAACCUGUCCUUGACUUUGGGAUAACUUCAGGAAACUGGGGCUAAUACCGGAUAGGAGCUCCUGCUGCAUGGUGGGGGUUGGAAAGUUUCGGCGGUUGGGGAUGGACUCGCGGCUGAUCAGCUUGUUGGUGGGGUAGUGGCUUACCAAGGCUUUGACGGGUAGCCGGCCUGAGAGGGUGACCGGCCACAUUGGGAUUGAGAUACGGCCCAGACUCCUACGGGAGGCAGCGGUGGGGAAUAUUGCACAGUGGGCGGAAGCCUGAUGCAGCAACGCCGCGUGCGGGAUGACGGCCUUCGGGUUGUAAACCGCUUUCGCCUGUGACGAAGCGUGAGUGACGGUAAUGGGUAAAGAAGCACCGGCUAACUACGUG